GACGAACGCUGGCGGCGUGCCUAAUACAUGCAAGUUGAGCGAUGAAGCUUGGUGCUUGCACCAAUUUGAAGAGCAGCGAACGGGUGGGUAACGCGUGGGGAAUCUGCCUUUGAGCGGGGGACAACAUUUGGAAACGAAUGCUAAUACCGCAUAACAACUUUAAACAUAAGUUUUAAGUUUGAAAGAUGCAAUUGCAUCACUCAAAGAUGAUCCCGCGUUGUAUUAGCUAGUUGGUGAGGUAAAGGCUCACCAAGGCGAUGAUACAUAGCCGACCUGAGAGGGGGAUAGGCCACAUUGGGACUGAGACACGGCCCAAACUCCUACGGGAGGCAGCAGUAGGGAAUCUUCGGCAAUGGAAGAAAGUCUGACCGAGCAACGCCGCGUGAGUGAAGAAGGUUUUCGGAUCGUAAAACUCUGUUGGUAGAGAAGAACGUUGGUGAGAGUGGAAAGUUCAUCAAGUGACGGUAACUACCCAGAAAGGGACGGCUAACUACGUG
Molecule: ribosomal RNA, 497 nt
Filed under: uncultured bacterium
Lineage: Bacteria
Description: partial 16S ribosomal RNA
Rfam family: Bacterial small subunit ribosomal RNA
Source: RNAcentral